AUUGAACGCUGGCGGCAGGCCUAACACAUGCAAGUCGAGCGGUAACACAGGAAGCUUGCUCCUGGGUGACGAGCGGCGGACGGGUGAGUAAUGUCUGGGAAACUGCCUGAUGGAGGGGGGUAACUACUGGAAACGGUAGCUAAUACCGCAUAACGUCGCAAGACCAAAGAGGGGGACCUUCGGGCCUCUUGCCAUCAGAUGUGCCCAGAUGGGAUUAGCUAGUAGGUGGGGUAACGGCUCACCUAGGCGACGAUCCCUAGCUGGUCUGAGAGGAUGACCAGCCACACUGGAACAGAGACACGGUCCAGACUCCUACGGGAGGCAACAGUGGGGAAUAUUGCACAAUGGGCGCAGGCCUGAUGCAGCCAUGCCGCGUGUAUGAAGAAGGCCUUCGGGUUGUAAAGUACUUUCAGCGGGGAGGAAGGCGAUAAGGUUAAUAACCUUGUCGAUUGACGUUACCCGCAGAAGAAGCACCGGCUAACUCCGUGCCAGCCGCCGCGGUAA
This 504-nucleotide ribosomal RNA is filed under the name uncultured bacterium. RNAcentral describes it as "partial 16S ribosomal RNA". It matches the Rfam family "Bacterial small subunit ribosomal RNA", at positions 30 to 523 of the family's 1533-position model. The record is from RNAcentral.